CUCUAGCACGAGUUUGCCAAAUUGGGUGCUUGGCUAAAAGAACCAUUGUCCAAACAAGCAACACAGAUGUGGUUUCUUGACCAGCAAAGUAAAAUAUCUUACACUCAUCCAUCACAUCUGUAAGGCUCAUUCCAGUACCACCACCAUUUUCUUGAAUCUCUCUAGAAUUUGCUUCCAUUAACAUACCUAGUAAAUCAUUAUUAUCAACCUCUCCUGCUUUCAUGGCCUUCUCUCUUUUAUUGAUGAUCCCUUUUAGUAAAUAUCUUAUCUCCGUGUCACACGCCUUUAGCUUCUUAUUAAAUUUAGUUGGUAGAAACCUAUAUAAAUAUGUAUGUAAGAAAUGUUGUAUAUAUAUAUAUACACAUAGACGAGCUUGAAAGAUUGUUUGCACAUUUAACAAUUACCUCCAUCCUGGAAUAUAAACAUUUUGUACAAGUUGUUGUAUGAGAAUGGCAAGUUCAUCCAUCAGUUGGAAGAUUCUUUUCCCUUCCUCAUGGCUGCUUCCAAACGCCGUUCGAGAAAUUAUAUCUCUUGUCAGAUCAUUAAGAUGAGGCCACACAUCCAACUCAAUCCAUUCCUUAUCAGAGACUAACUCCUCCCAUUUGUUCAUCAUAUCUCUAUUGCUUUCAUAGAAUGCAGGUAACAUAUUCUGUUCAAGAAAUAUAUCCAUGUAAAUACCAGAACAUAAAAUAACAUAUCAUGUCUGUGUGUUGGAAAUUUUACCUUUAACUUUUCUUGAUGGAAUGCUGGAUUAAUAAUUCUUCUAUGUUUAGCCCAUUUCUCACCUUCAUGACUUACUAGUCCAGUCACAAGAAGUUUUAAUAGAGGACUCAAUUCUUGUCUAUGAAACUCAUUAGUUUUAGCAAAGACAUGUUUGAUCUGUUCUGGGUUCAUUAUGGUUACCCUUGGUGUUGGUCCAUGCCAUGUGAAUGAAUUUUUCCCUGCAACAAUUUUUAGAAUUCUCAAAAUCAAAACUAAUUUCUAAAGUACCAACUAAACUGAUUAUAUGUAAAUGACCAUCCAUCAUCAUACUAUGUAAUGAGUUUACCAUAUUUCUUGAGGCUCUGGUAGAGGAAGGGAGUGACAUAAGGUGCAAUGUCAUGGUGGAGGCUAAUGGGUUUGGAGCUUGCCUCCACAAGCAUCAUGGAACUUUCUCUAGCGUCUCCAUGAAGAAGACGAUAUUGAUUGCCGUCAAGACCCUGUUGUCUCAGCCACUUCUCCAGCUUCUUUGGGUUUAACCAAACCCAGUUCAGAACCCGCCAUACACAUAUCACAAAAGCAAUUAAGAUAGCAGUUGUUGCAAUUGUUGUCAGCAUUUUCUGUUCAAUUAUUAUAUGUCUGAGUUCGUUUUCUUUGUGAGCUAUAUAUAUAUAUGUAUAUAUAUGCACACACACUACGAGAUACGAAUAAGAGACAUGAGGGAGGUAUUUAUAAUUUUAUAUGUCUACAUGCAAGGUGGAAAAUGUGCAUGCAAAUAGAAAUUUCUUUCUUGUAAAUCAAGUUUUUUUUUUUUCCUUGCAUGGUUUCUUGUGAAUCGAGUGAAAUUGAACAAGUCAAUCAAGUUUCUGACUUUUUGAGCCUGGUCUGGAUACAAGUCAAGAUCAACUUUUCUUUUUUCUUUUCAAAAGUUAUUUGUACUUUUCAAAAAUUAUUUCUUACCUUGUUAAUGUUAACUUCGUGAUUGUAUAAUAUUUUAAAUUUUUUUUUAUUAUAUUUAAAUAUUAGUGUUUAUUUUUUCAUUUCAUUUUUGGGUAUUCAUAUUUAUAAAUAAAGGUAAAUGUAAUUUUUAGCCUCUUAAUUUACAGUAGUGUCAUAAAAGAUUCCAAUUAACAUAAUUCUAAGAAAAAGUAGAGAGAAAAUUCUACUGUGCAUGAGGGAGAGGUAAAAUUCUUUCUUGCUUAUCAAGCGAAAAUCUACAAGUCAAAAAUUAGUCUUCAUAAAAUUUUCCAAAUGGGUGUCUCUAAUGACUAAUAUUCUCAAAUAUUAAUGUCCCGAAUGGUACGAAUUUAUCAUGCUUCCAUGAAGGUGCCUUAAUAUAUAUAUAUAUAUAUAUAUAUAUCUUCUUUGAAAAUCAAGAUCAUUAUCACCGUGGACUGCUAAAAGAAACUUAAGUAAAGAUAUAGACCACAAACUGAAUAUACAUAUAUAUAAGAACAAUUUCAAAAUCUUUCCAGCAGGUAUUUGACUCCCCUGUAUAUGCAAUAUAUACGUAUGUAUAUAGUGUUCGUGUAUAGCAAUAACAGAUUUAAUUAAAAAAAAUCUAAAGAUGGACGGCAAUAUGAUAUUAUAUACAAUAAUUAAUCUUGGAUAUGGAUGAUAUCCUUCGUAAUUGCCCAAAAUGUUUUUCUUUUUGUUCUUUUGCUGAAUUGAAAAAAGUAUAAUCUGUGGAUGAUAUGAAUGCGUAUAGAAAUUGACCUUUGAAAUUUCCAUUGUACUAUUCGCAUCACUUAAAGCAGUUGAUACUAAUCAUAUAUUUCUAAUCUGGCUCCUCAGAGAUUUUUCUUUCCUUUUCUGUGGCCAUGGGGAAGUUGAGCUAUUAUUUUUUUUAGCAUAUGUUUGAGAAAUUGUGAAUUGGUUUAAAGAAAAUAGAAGUUUAUUACGUUGUAUGUGUUGAAUUAUGCUAAAAAGUAUAAUAGUAGAUUGGAUCUUAUGUAAUUAAAUUACCUUUUUUUUUUUAUAGAAAACUUAUAUAUAUAACUGUAAUAUUUAAUAAAAUACACGUUAACAAUUAUUGAUAUGAUAUCAUAGUUCUAGAUUAAAGAAAUUAUAAUUCAAUUAUAAACUCUAUUCAAUUAUAAUUGUCGAAAUAAAAAAGAAAUUUACUACCGUAGAUAACUUAGGUUAACCUUUAUAAUUGACUACUGUAGAUCAAUUGCAAGCUACCAUUGUUGGCCACUAGUAGCAACCAAAUCGAUUUUCAUGUUGGUGUCAGAAUCCUCAGCCGUGCAUUUGUGGGUAGCCGCGAUAUAAACAGACGCAAUUGCACUAUUAAAUGCAGUCGUUAUCAGGCGUAUACGUGACCCUCUCUGCAAUAUUGUCACCUGUCAAGAUGCUAUAUAUCAUGACCCUCUCACGAGCAAAUAUAAUCACUAGACGCAGUCGUGACCAGACAAAGAUGUAGCUCUCUCUAUGCCAUUUUCAUAUGCCAUGACACCAUCUAUCAUGACUCAAUGCAAACACAACCAUCUUGCAACAAGAGGCAAAUGCUAGAUGGAGAUAUAACACCAUUUGUCACGACAUUUCUCUAUUAUAAGAUGUAAGAUGUACGAUGCUCAGCUCUUUAUACCAUCUUCUGUCCAGUUUAUGUCCAUACAACCUACGCACAAAGUUUAUGUUAAAAGAUAAUGAUAAAAAAUUUUUAAAAGACUUUACACUGCAUCUAUUAUCAGACACCCUAACAUUAUCAUUACAAGAGAACCAUCAUAAUCCACUAGAAUGUUCAUCUACUCAAGAUAUCAUACCUGACAUUGAUUAUGAAACUAAAGUAAGUCAUAGAAAACCUAUAUAGUAUAAUAAUGAUAUGUCUAUUAUACUUAAUAAAUAUACAAUAAAAUAUAUUAAAUACCAUUUUUAUUUAGUCUCACAGUUUGUAUUAUUAUAUAAGUAUUCAUUAUCUUAUAAAAAAAUUUCUUACAAGUUUAAAUAUUGAGUCUUUUCAUAACAUAAUAUUUAAAAUAUUAUCUUGCAGAAAUAAUAAAAAAAAUUAUAAAUGUAGAAAUGCAGACACUUAAAAAAAAUUAGACAUAGAAAAUUGUGGGUCUACCAAAAAACAUAAAUCUAAUGGGAUGCAAAUUAAUCUUUACAAUCAAAUACAAAGUUGAUGGGGCAAUCAAGAAAUACAAAACGAGAUCGGCACCAAAGGACUAUACACAGACAUAAAAAUUAGAUUAUCAAGAGGGAUUAGUACUAGUAGCCAAGAUGAGCCCUGUACGAAUGUUGUUAUCACUGGCUGUUCAUUUUAAUUGACAACUAUAAUAAUUUGAUGUGAAAAAAAUCUUCCUACAUGAAAAUUAAAAAGAAAAUUAUAUGAAUAUUUCACUAAAGUUUGAUAAAGAAAUAAAACAAGAUAAGUUAUGAAAAGUAAAGAUUGUCAUGUACAGGACUCAAGUAAUUCUUAAGAGCAUGGUUUGGUAACUUCACAAGAGCGAUGCUAGAUCUUGAAUUUAAGUAGGGUCAAUGAGACCAUACUUUAUUCAUCAAAUGCUUAGAAAUAAAUGGAGUCACAACUCUACUUUUAUAAAUUGAUUACAUUAUCGUAACAAAAGAUAAUAAGAAAAAAAAAACUCAUAUUAAUAUAAUGUUUGACAAUAGAAUUUGUAAUUAAGGAACUCGGUAAGUAAAAGUAUUUUCUAAUAAUUCAAGUUGCUCGCUCAAAGUCUAAGAUUUUUAUUUCUUAGCAAAAAAACAUUCAUGACCUAUUAAGGGACUCCAGUUAGUUAGCAUGCAAAUUAGUUAGUGCUUUUAUUGAUCAUAAUCACAAAUUAAAAAUAAUAUAAGAAAAUUCGCAGAUAAACAAUGAAAUGUAUAAGAAAUUGGUUGGGAAAUUGAUAUACUUAACCCCCUCUCACGAGAACAGACACUGCCUAUGCACUGAGUAUUACAAAGUCAAUUCAUGCACAAUCUUCAACCUUCGUAAUAUUGUAUUACAUAAAAAGGUUACUUGAAAAAGUAAUUAUAUUAAAGAAGAGUCGUAAAGUACUUAUAGAAAUCUAUAUUGAUAUGAAUCAUGUAUGGUCAUUUGUUGAUAGAAGAUAUACUAGAGAAUAUUGUACCUUUCUCAUGAGCAACCUUAGUUGCUUGGAAAAGUAAGAAGUAAAAUGUAGUUGCAAUAUCAAGUGCAAAAUUAGAAUUUUGAAUAACAACAUAAGGAGUAUGUAAACUAUUACGAAUAAAAAUUUUUUUAGAUCUUUAAGUCAAGUAGGAAAAUCUCAUGCAUCUAUACUUUAACAACAUAUUAGUCGUAAGCAUUGCAUACAAUUUGGUACAACAUGACUAUACCAAACAUAUUGAGUUAGAUAGAUAUUUUAUCAGAGAAAAACUUGAUUAGUACUAUAAUAUACCUACUAAUUCUCAAUGUGUUGAUUAAAGUCUUAAGCAAUCCAACAUUCUAAAUUCUUAUUGAUAAGUUAGUGAUAGAUAAUAUUUACUGUUCACCUUAACGAGGAAUAUUAAAGAAAUAACAAAUUAGGUGAAAUAGUAUAAGAUUCAGUUACACCUUAUUUAGUGAAUUAAGUUAAAUGAUAUAAGAGUAAAUUGCAUCUUAUGUAAUUAAUUGCAUAUUUUUUCUACAUCCUAAAAAACUUGUAUAUAUAUAGUUAUAAUAUUCAAUAAGAUCCACAUCAACCAUUUUUGACAGUAUAAAUUUAAUUUAAAUUUUGGUUUUUGUGUGCCUUCAUUAAGAAAUUGAUUAUUUUGUUUCCUUAUCUAAAGAUUGAUUGUGUUAUUAUUACUAUAUAAAUAUUAAAUAAUUAUUAGAAUACAUAAAUUUUUACUAUAAAAGGUGUCUACAUUGAACUCAAUAUUUUAUAUAUAUAUACAUAUUGAUGGCCAUGUUCUCAGACAUUUAUUAUAACUAACAAGAUAAUGUUCUUGCUUACAAAAUGAAACUUAAAUAUGAUAAACUUCCAAAAAGCACCGUAUUUGAUAUCUUUGUCGGUAUCAUAAUAUUUACUUUCUGAUUUAUAGCAUUAGAGCUUACGUAAAAUCAUAUUAGCACCAUACUGUGGAUGCGCGGUUAAAACCAGAACGGGUGAAUGAGUAUAAGUUGAGGAUAACUCAAACUCGAAGUGUUGCAGGAUCAUUGCCAGAGCUAUCUUUGCUUCCAUCAUCGCAAAAUUCUGACCAAUACAGAUUCUUGGACCCGAUGAAAAUGGAAGGAACGAGCUUUGGUUCUUUGUCGCCAUUGAAACUCCUUCUGCAAACCUCUCUGGUUUGAACUCCCCGGCAUCAUCACCCCACAGUUCUGGAUCACGAUGAAUCAGGAUAUUCGGAAUGCUGAUUUCAACACCAGCUGGUAGUACCAAGUUACCCAGUUUCGUUUCUUUCCCAACUAAUCGAAUAAGCUGCACAGCCGGUGGAUAUAAUCUCAGAACCUCGUACAAAAUCAUGGUCACCUGCAACAUUCCAUUAAUCAAUUAUAUGUAAACAUAGAUGGAGAGUCAAACGCUAAAAUCUACUUCUUUUUCACUCAUAAAGACGAUUAUAUGUAACGACGAGGAGUAUAUGUGUGUGUAUAUAUAUAUAUAUAUAUGUAUAUACUUACAAUUUUAAGACGAUUCAAUCCAUUAAAGUCGGGUUUGUUGUGACCAAAAACUCGGAGAACUUCUUCUCUAGCACGAGAUUGCCAAAUUGGGUGAUGGGCUAAAAGAACCAUUGUCCAAACAAGCAAUACAGAUGUGGUUUCUUGACCAGCAAAGUAAAAUAUCUUACACUCAUCUAUCACAUCUGUAAGGCUCAUUCCAGUACCACCACCAUUUUCUUGAAUCUCUCUAGAAUUUGCUUCCAUUAAUGUACCCAGUAAAUCAUCAUUAUCAACCUCCCCUGCUUUCAUGGCCUUCUCUCGUUUAUUGAUGACCCCUUUUAGCGAACACCUUAUCUCUGUGUCACAUGCCUUUAGCU
This 6618-nucleotide long non-coding RNA is filed under the name Carica papaya (papaya). Its description in RNAcentral is "long non-coding RNA (CPAP_LNC007520)". Lineage: Eukaryota; Viridiplantae; Streptophyta; Magnoliopsida; Brassicales; Caricaceae. The record is from RNAcentral.